AAUCUUAAGUUGGUUGCAGUCAGUCACAGACAGACGUGAUAUUACACGUCAAAAAAGUUUAACAACGGAGAUCGGAUAACAAGUUAACUGUUUUUAAAUAAUUUCAGCUGAAGUUUUCAUGUACCUGGCCAACUAGGUGCUCGUGACAAUAGAAAUGAAAUGGUCUAAUCCAAUAAUGCAAGCUCACAAGUCACAACCUAUGUCUUCUGAAGAAAAAUCAUUUCUGUUGCAGUUGUAAAUCUUCAAGAUAUUGAUGCCUUCGCCAGAUCCAAUUCUUUGUUGCUGAUGAGAGAGAGAAUUCAUCAUUUUGUAUUUUGCAUUUAGACUGAAUGAUAACCAUUUUGUUGCCCAUCCAAGGAUAAGGAAAAGGCCAACACCACCAACACGCCAACUAGGUUCUUUGUUUGUUAACCCCCUUGGCUGGUGAAAGAUUGUUGUGCAUCAAGUUAACCUGUGGCUGUUCCUUGUUGCUGGUGUCUUGCUACAGAAGUUACAGGCAGUAUUUUGUUCAAUUUGCAUUAUGUCUGUAGAUUUACAGCUAGUUUAAGUCUUAGCUUCAUCUUCUUCUUCAUUCCAGUCUAAUUCACACAUGUAUUUUUUCAGCCAGUGUUGAAUUUGACGUGCACAAUUUUCUCAUUGGUAUAAGUAUGAUUAGGCUUAACUCUUGUAAAUAACAUUAAGUGACAUUUAUUUGUCUUUUCAUUGACAGCAUUUCCAUUGGUACUGAAGAUCAAUUCAUUU
This is a long non-coding RNA of Daphnia pulicaria, 741 nucleotides long. RefSeq lists it as uncharacterized. NCBI's taxonomy places the organism in Eukaryota, Metazoa, Arthropoda, Branchiopoda, Diplostraca, Daphniidae. The record is from RefSeq and is a predicted model, not a curated record. The transcript has 4 exons.